Molecule: long non-coding RNA, 706 nt
Filed under: Hordeum vulgare
Lineage: Eukaryota; Viridiplantae; Streptophyta; Magnoliopsida; Poales; Poaceae
Description: long non-coding RNA (HVUL_LNC020175)
Source: RNAcentral
GGGACGUCCUUGGUGAUGUUCAUAACCGACACCUUAAUCAUCUCGUAUGUAUCUUCUUGAAUCUGCAUCAUAAAUCCAGCCUUUCUUUUCUUUUGUUCAGACAUUGAGUCUUUCAUGGUGUUGCAGAUGCGGGCCGAGGCCAUCUCGCUGGCCCUCGGCAGCUCUUGUUUUUUUCACUGUCUCACCCGUCCUCGAUGCUUUGGUCGCCAUCAUCCUCUUUCACAAAGUGUCUGUUAGCACGUGUUACAGUCGGCUGUUAGUUUGUAGCCCGUUUCUCUUCUCUUUUCUCUUGUUUCUUUUCCAACUUAUCACACCCCGCCAACGUCAUCCUAUUGUACUUGCUCUAAGUAGUACUGAUGGGACUAUAAGGAGCAUGUUGUCUCUUCGUAACAACAAUAAUAUUCAAGAGUGUGGUACAUUAUCCAUUUAAUUUUGAGUUUUCUAAGAAAAUGUUGUUUUAAUUGAGGAAUAAUAAGCAUACAUAUGGUGUUUCCUGCACUUGGUUUUCUAUCUUGAGUUGGAAAAUAAGAUGUUGAGUGUGAGCAUUGUGCCAUACUUUAUAUAUAAUUUCCCGCCUAUUGAUUCAUAAUGAUGUGGUCCCUGAAUUUCUAUCAUGUCACAUGAUAGGUGAUGUACGAUGCUUUUCUUCUAUCAGUGUCGGGAAGCAAACAUGAAGUAUCUAACAAUUGCUUGCACGAGUAUGAUU